This 21-nucleotide small nuclear RNA is filed under the name Arabidopsis thaliana (thale cress). RNAcentral's name for it is "snRNA_17668". Lineage: Eukaryota; Viridiplantae; Streptophyta; Magnoliopsida; Brassicales; Brassicaceae. The record is from RNAcentral.
CCCGCUGAGUUUAAGCAUAUC